This 21-nucleotide non-coding RNA is filed under the name Caenorhabditis elegans. Lineage: Eukaryota; Metazoa; Nematoda; Chromadorea; Rhabditida; Rhabditidae. The record is from RNAcentral.
UAAUUUUUGAAGUCUCACACA